This 382-nucleotide ribosomal RNA is filed under the name uncultured eukaryote. RNAcentral's name for it is "partial 18S ribosomal RNA". It matches the Rfam family "Eukaryotic small subunit ribosomal RNA", at positions 592 to 976 of the family's 1831-position model. The record is from RNAcentral.
UGUAAGCGUAUACCAAAGUUGUUGCAGUUAAAACGCUCGUAGUCGGAAUUUGGCAGUUCCGGAUGUGUGCACGUCGUGUGCGCACUUCGCGGGGAUUGCUUUUGUGGUCUUGCGUAGGAUGAGGCACUUUUAUCAGUGAACGUCCUCACGCAACCACUUUUUACUGUGAGAAAAUCAGAGUGCUCAAAGCAGGCAUUUGCCGUGAAUGUAUUAGCAUGGAAUAAUAGAAUAGGACUUGGUUCUAUUUUGUUGGUUUGUUGGGACUGAGUAAUGAUUAAGAGGGACAGUUGGGGGCAUUUGUAUUUCGGUGCUAGAGGUGAAAUUCUUAGAUUACCGAAAGACAAACUGCUGCGAAAGCGUCUGCCAAGGAUGUUUUCAUUGA